GAAUUAUGUGGCUCCUUCAUGUACUUUUUGAUUGAACAGUGAUAACUCAGAUAAUACAUUAUCCCGUGCCCCUCUCUGAGAGGAACCUGCCUUUUUUUUUUUUUUUUUUUCUUUUUUUUUUUUUUUUUUUUUUUUUUAACAGAGCAGUGAAAGAAGACUUCAUAGAGGCAUUUAAAGUGACAUCACCAUGCCAAUCCCAACUUACUACAACCGGCGAGAAGCAACUGCUAGACCAGAUUAAAUACGACGAAGGGUAGUACGGGUGUGUGGAGAAGCAGAGAAGAUGCACCUGACCCAGCUUUGUGGCUGAUUUCUGGAUUCAAAUCCAUGCCCCGUGAUGAGCUUGGUCUUCUGGAGCUACCUGCAUGUGCUUAAUUUACCUUCCUCCUGCCUGUUGAAGGAAACGUUCAGGUCUCUUAAGACUUCUCUCAAAUAAACAUCACUGAUUUCAUAAAUAACAAUUUUCCAGACUUCGCAUCCCUUCCCUUUUUCUCGUAGACGUCAACCUCCUAAAUUGUGGUGCCCAGGUUUAAUGCAGUAGACCCUUGCCAUGUGGGGAGUUGUAUUUGCAGUCUAGAAUUUAUUUGAAGUUCUGUGACAUGCUUUUCUUGAGGCACAAAUUGGAAUCACACAGGCUUCGGGGGAGG
Molecule: long non-coding RNA, 647 nt
Filed under: Canis lupus familiaris (dog)
Lineage: Eukaryota; Metazoa; Chordata; Mammalia; Carnivora; Canidae
Description: lncRNA (ENSCAFG00845021699.1)
Source: RNAcentral